This 439-nucleotide ribosomal RNA is filed under the name uncultured bacterium. RNAcentral describes it as "partial 16S ribosomal RNA". It matches the Rfam family "Bacterial small subunit ribosomal RNA", at positions 339 to 795 of the family's 1533-position model. The record is from RNAcentral.
CUACGGGGGGCACCAGUGAGGAAUAUUGCACAAUGGGGGGAACCCUGAUGCAGCAACGCCGCGUGGAGGAUGACGCAUUUCGGUGUGUAAACUCCUUUUAUAUGUCAAGAAAAUGACGGUAGCAUAUGAAUAAGCACCGGCUAACUCCGUGCCAGCAGCCGCGGUAAUACGGAGGGUGCAAGCGUUACUCGGAAUCACUGGGCGUAAAGGACGCGUAGGCGGGUUGGAAAGUCAGGUGUGAAAUCCUACAGCUUAACUGUAGAACUGCACUUGAAACUUCUAAUAUAGAGUAUGGGAGGGGGAGAUGGAAUUAGUGGUGUAGGGGUAAAAUCCGUAGAUAUCACUAGGAAUACCUAAAGCGAAGGCGAUCUCCUGGAACACUACUGACGCUAAGGCGUGAAAGCGUGGGGAGCAAACAGGAUUAGAUACCCUCGUAGUC